RNAcentral lists this transfer RNA (76 nucleotides) under Mollicutes bacterium PWAP. Its description in RNAcentral is "tRNA-Asn". It matches the Rfam family "tRNA". From Rfam's summary of the family: Transfer RNA (tRNA) molecules are approximately 80 nucleotides in length. Their secondary structure includes four short double-helical elements and three loops (D, anti-codon, and T loops). Further hydrogen bonds mediate the characteristic L-shaped molecular structure. tRNAs have two regions of fundamental functional importance: the anti-codon, which is responsible for specific mRNA codon recognition, and the 3' end, to which the tRNAs corresponding amino acid is attached (by aminoacyl-tRNA synthetases). tRNAs cope with the degeneracy of the genetic code in two manners: having more than one tRNA (with a specific anti-codon) for a particular amino acid; and 'wobble' base-pairing, i.e. permitting non-standard base-pairing at the 3rd anti-codon position. The record is from RNAcentral. Lineage: Bacteria; Bacillati; Mycoplasmatota; Mollicutes.
GCCGUUAUAGCUCAGUAGGUAGAGCAGUUGACUGUUAAUCAAUUGGUCACAGGUUCGAGUCCUGUUAACGGCGCCA